GGUAUGCUACCCUUCCUUUUUUGGUGGUUUUACCUCGUAGUAACUUUCCAGAAAAACGAAAGGGUUAUGAUGAGAGAUUAUGUCAUACCCUGGCACAUGCUUUGUCCAAUGGACCAUGGAAGGGACUUUACUUGGCUGACAAGGACGCACCUCACCAGUAUCAGAGCAACAGCUGUGGGGUGUUUAUGCUGAUGUACGCAAUGUAUUCUACCCUCAAAAGCAAUAUGAUUUCAGUGAGGUGAGUUCUUUCAAAUCUCAAUCAGAUGUGUAGCAUGAAAUAUAAGGCUUUUAAUAAUUUAGUCAUCCUUACUGGAGGCUACAAUUAACAUGCAUCAUAGGUCAUACACAUUACUUUGUCUUCAGGUACUGCACUUACGGGAGGAGAUGGCUACAUCUUCACAAUAAUUUACACUGCCAUAGUACACUGCUAAACAGUACUGUAACAUGGAUUUGUAUUAGGCUAUGAAGUCAUUUAAAGCAUAACUUAACUUUUCAGGGGGACAUGCUCUAUCAGGAGGUGGUGGUUGGACAGCUGUUGGAGACCUUUAUGCUUGAAAGCCCUGCAGAACUAGCUGGCUCCUUCUCACCCUCUCCAUCUCCCCAUCUCAGUCACACCUUCCAAUCACUAAGCAGUGAAAGCCCUGCAGGACUAGCUGGCACACCAAGCUCACCCUCCAUCUCCCCAUCUCAGCCACACGCUCCAAUCUGGCACAACAGAGGACAGGCCAUUCUUACCACCCGAAGUCCUUCAGCAAAUUGUACAAGAGACGCUGAGACUGGACAUGGCGAUGCUUGGCGUGUUCAACAGGGUUUCAAACACAUUCCGAGAACUAAUCAAGCCUCUCCAUCCUUCCAUAUAUAUAAAUGACAGUUUGGCAGGGGACAUUAAGCUUAAUAAAGACAAUCUCAUAUACAUAACGGUUAGAAAGAUUUACAACAAUGCAGGCUG
Long non-coding RNA from Gadus macrocephalus (Pacific cod), 949 nucleotides. RefSeq lists it as uncharacterized. The record is from RefSeq and is a predicted model, not a curated record. Lineage: Eukaryota; Metazoa; Chordata; Actinopteri; Gadiformes; Gadidae. The transcript has 6 exons.